GACGAACGCUGGCGGCGUGCUUAACACAUGCAAGUCGAACGGAAAGGCCCUGCUUUUGUGGGGUGCUCGAGUGGCGAACGGGUGAGUAACACGUGAGUAACCUGCCCUUGACUUUGGGAUAACUUCAGGAAACUGGGGCUAAUACCGGAUAGGAGCUCCUGCUGCAUGGUGGGGGUUGGAAAGUUUCGGCGGUUGGGGAUGGACUCGCGGCUUAUCAGCUUGUUGGUGGGGUAGUGGCUUACCAAGGCUUUGACGGGUAGCCGGCCUGAGAGGGUGACCGGCCACAUAGGGACUGAGAUACGGCCCAGACUCCUACGGGAGGCAGCAGUGGGGAAUAUUGCACAAUGGGCGGAAGCCUGAUGCAGCAACGCCGCGUGCGGGAUGACGGCCUUCGGGUUGUAAACCGCUUUCGCCUGUGACGAAGCGUGAGUGGCGGUAAUGGGUAAAGAAGCACCGGCUAACUACGUG
This 468-nucleotide ribosomal RNA is filed under the name uncultured bacterium. RNAcentral describes it as "partial 16S ribosomal RNA". It matches the Rfam family "Bacterial small subunit ribosomal RNA", at positions 28 to 507 of the family's 1533-position model. The record is from RNAcentral.